This 329-nucleotide unclassified non-coding RNA is filed under the name soil metagenome. Its description in RNAcentral is "partial contains 5.8S ribosomal RNA, internal transcribed spacer 2, and large subunit ribosomal RNA". The stretch from base 2 to 120 matches the Rfam family "5.8S ribosomal RNA", at positions 36 to 154 of the family's 154-position model. The record is from RNAcentral.
AAUGAAGAACGUAGCGAAAUGCGAUAAGUAAUGUGAAUUGCAGAAUUCAGUGAAUCAUCGAAUCUUUGAACGCACAUUGCGCCCCCUGGUAUUCCGGGGGGCAUGCCUGUCCGAGCGUCAUUACAACCCUCAAGCUCAGCUUGGUGUUGGGCCCCGCCGCCCCGGCGGGCCCUAAAGUCAGUGGCGGUGCCGUCCGGCUCCGAGCGUAGUAAUUCUUCUCGCUCUGGAGGUCCGGUCGUGUGCUCGCCAGCAACCCCCAAUUUUUUUCAGGUUGACCUCGGAUCAGGUAGGGAUACCCGCUGAACUUAAGCAUAUCAAUAAGCGGAGGA